GACGAACGCUGGCGGCGUGCCUAAUACAUGCAAGUUGAGCGCUGAAGGCUGGUACUUGUACCAACUGGAUGAGCAGCGAACGGGUGAGUAACGCGUGGGGAAUCUGCCUUUGAGCGGGGGACAACAUUUGGAAACGAAUGCUAAUACCGCAUAAAAACUUUAAACACAAGUUUUAAGUUUGAAAGAUGCAAUUGCAUCACUCAAAGAUGAUCCCGCGUUGUAUUAGUUAGUUGGUGAGGUAAAGGCUCAUCAAGGCGAUGAUACAUAGCCGACCUGAGAGGGUGGGCGGCCACAUUGGGACUGAGACACGGCCCAAACUCCUACGGGAGGCAGCAGUAGGGAAACGUCGGCAAUGGACGAAAGUCUGACCGAGCAACGCCGCGUGAGUGAAGAGGGUUUUCGGAUCGUAAAACUCGGUUGGUAGGGAAGAACGUUGGUGAGAGUGGAAAGCUCAUCGAGUGACGGUAACUACUCAGAAAGGGACGGCUAACUACGUG
This 497-nucleotide ribosomal RNA is filed under the name uncultured bacterium. Its description in RNAcentral is "partial 16S ribosomal RNA". It matches the Rfam family "Bacterial small subunit ribosomal RNA", at positions 28 to 507 of the family's 1533-position model. The record is from RNAcentral.